This is a long non-coding RNA of Dermochelys coriacea (leatherback sea turtle), 516 nucleotides long. RefSeq lists it as uncharacterized. The record is from RefSeq and is a predicted model, not a curated record. The transcript is spliced from 5 exons. NCBI's taxonomy places the organism in Eukaryota, Metazoa, Chordata, Testudines, Dermochelyidae.
CUGGAGCCUUUGGAGCAAAGAGAGAGGCUCCCUAGGCUACAGCCAAAAGAACCAGGUCAAGGCUAGGGCCUAUUAGUGGCUACAACUGGAAACAGGAGUUCAGGAGGAACCCUACUGAUUUAAUUCCUCAGGGGCAAUUAAGCCUCAGAAGGGUGAGAAAAGUGGUUGAACUUGGAUCUUGCCUAUAAUAACUGCACCAGACAACGAUCUGUGCACCCACCGAUGGGGCUGAGGAUUUGCCUCUGAAUUCUCUCAGAAAGAGUGGGGACCAUGUUUCAAAAACACAUUAUACAGGGUCACAAUUUUGCAUGUGACAAAUUUGUUAUUUCAAGCCUCUGAUGCCCUAAAGCAGAGGUUCCCAAAUGAAGACUCGUGUAAUCCCAUUGAACUCACAUGCAAAAACAACCUAUUGGAUUUGGACUAAAAUUUUGUUGGGAACAUUUCUCAGGUCCAGGAUGGAUUUUUUUAGUCAUGGGGGAGAGAGAGCAAGAGCGCCUGAGACCUCCCACAUCCCAG